UAAACGGAUAAUGGACAUGGUGA
RNAcentral lists this non-coding RNA (23 nucleotides) under Cricetulus griseus (Chinese hamster). Lineage: Eukaryota; Metazoa; Chordata; Mammalia; Rodentia; Cricetidae. The record is from RNAcentral.